RNAcentral lists this ribosomal RNA (445 nucleotides) under uncultured Levilinea sp. RNAcentral describes it as "bacterial SSU rRNA". It matches the Rfam family "Bacterial small subunit ribosomal RNA", at positions 923 to 1382 of the family's 1533-position model. The record is from RNAcentral. Lineage: Bacteria; Bacillati; Chloroflexota; Anaerolineae; Anaerolineales; Anaerolineaceae.
GCACAAGCAGCGGAGCGUGUGGUUUAAUUCGAUGAUACACGAAGAACCUUACCAGGGUUUGACAUGCUGGUAGUAGGGAUCCGAAAGGUGACCGACCCUCGGGGAGCCAGCACAGGUGCUGCAUGGCUGUCGUCAGCUCGUGUCGUGAGAUGUUCGGUUAAGUCCGCUAACGAGCGCAACCCUUGCUGUGUGUUACAUGUGUCACACGGGACUGCCGGUUUUAAACCGGAGGAAGGUGGGGAUGAUGUCAAGUCAGCAUGGCCUUUAUAUCCUGGGCUACACACACGCUACAAUGGCCGGUACAAUAGGUUGCGAAGCCGCGAGGCGGAGCCAAUCCUCAAAGCCGGCCUCAGUUCAGAUUGCAGGCUGCAACCCGCCUGCAUGAAGAUGGAGUUGCUAGUAACCGCAGGUCAGCAAUACUGCGGUGAAUACGUUCCCGGGGCUU